This 468-nucleotide ribosomal RNA is filed under the name uncultured bacterium. Its description in RNAcentral is "partial 16S ribosomal RNA". It matches the Rfam family "Bacterial small subunit ribosomal RNA", at positions 28 to 507 of the family's 1533-position model. The record is from RNAcentral.
GAUGAACGCUGGCGGCGUGCUUAACACAUGCAAGUCGAACGGAAAGGCCCAAGCUUGCUUGGGUACUCGAGUGGCGAACGGGGGAGUAACACGUGGGUGAACUGCCCUGCACUUCGGGAUAAGCCUGGGAAACUGGGGCUAAUACUGGAUAGGACCUAUUCAUGGACGGGGUGGAGGAGAGAAUUUUCGGUGUGGGAUGAGCUCGCGGCCUAUCAGCUUGUUGGUGGGGUAAUGGCCUACCAAGGCGUCGACGGGUAGCCGGCCUGCGAGGGUGUACGGCCACAUUGGGACUGAGCUGCGGCCCACACUCCUACGUGUGGCAGCAGUGGGGAAUAUUGCACAAUGGGCGCCAGCCUGAUGCAGCGACGCCGCGUGGGGGAUGACGGCCUUCGGGUUGUAAACUCCUUUCGCUAGGGACGAAGCGUUUUUGUGACGGUACCUGGAGAAGAAGCACCGGCUAACUACGUG